GGGAAGGCGAGGAAGUGAUUCUCUGUCCUAGCCAAGUAUACGUCCAGGCUUGGAGACGACUGAAAAUAAAAAUAAAUGAUAGACAUCUAAAACACCCUUACAGUUUACAAGAGGAUCCCCGAAGCUACAGAAUCACAGAUGACGCGGAGCUGCGUGAAGGCGUCUCUGGGCGAGUCCCACAGGGAAGAUGAAAAGCAAGCGGCCCGGAAGGGCCCGAGGGCGGAGCGCAGGCUCACGGGACACAGCGCGCACCAAUGAUGAGCAAACUGAACCAGCGUCAGGAGGCGCCAGUUAAACUCAAAUGUUUCAGCUCAACAAGGCCUGUGAGGUGGUUCCUAUUUCUCCAGUUUUACGUUCUCCGGUAUGUCUUUAUCAGCAGCAUGAAAACAAGACUAAUACACCCCCACACCAUGGUACCGAAGACGGGACACAGCUGCUCUACUGAUUAAAUUCAACUGACGUGAGGUUGCAGCUAUUCUAUUCAUAUAUUCACCAUCCCAUUCUUGAUGAUGUUCCUCAAGCUUACUUAACUUGCACGUGGAUGCAGAAGAAAGGUUUCUUUUGAAAGACUGUUGUAAAUAAAAGAGUCUGUAGUGCUUAUGUUGUUGUUUGUUGACUGACUAUAAAAUAGAUCCUUGCUGAUUUGUACAUUUGAUUUCCCAUGGGGCAGUAACAAUAUGAAAG
This 684-nucleotide long non-coding RNA is filed under the name Homo sapiens (human). RNAcentral's name for it is "HSALNT0324310". Lineage: Eukaryota; Metazoa; Chordata; Mammalia; Primates; Hominidae. The record is from RNAcentral.